Molecule: ribosomal RNA, 774 nt
Filed under: uncultured Neocallimastigales
Lineage: Eukaryota; Fungi; Neocallimastigomycota; Neocallimastigomycetes; Neocallimastigales
Description: partial large subunit ribosomal RNA
Rfam family: Eukaryotic large subunit ribosomal RNA
Source: RNAcentral
AGAGAGAGACAUGCGCGCAUAUCAAUAAGCGGAGGAAAAGAAACUAACAAGGAUUCCCUUAGUAACGGCGAGUGAAGCGGGAAGAGCUCAAAUUUGAAAUCUUCAAGGUUCUACCUUGACGAAUUGUAGUUUAUAGAAGUGUUUUCUGUUAGUGGAGUGGCAGAAGUUCUUUGGAAUAGGACAUCAUAGAGGGUGAGAAUCCCGUAUUUGGUCAUUCCUCCUAGCGUUGUGAUACACUUUCAACGAGUCGGAUUGUUUGGGAAUGCAGUCCAAAAUGGGUGGUAAAUUUCAUCUAAAGCUAAAUAUUGGCGAGAGACCGAUAGCGAACAAGUACCGUGAGGGAAAGAUGAAAAGAACUUUGAAAAGAGAGUUAAACAGUACGUGAAAUUGUCAAAAGGGAAGCGUUUGACACCAGUGUUGUUUUUCCGAAAAUCAAUUACGAAUGUUUUGUUUUUGAGGAGUUAUGACUUCAUCGGCUUGCUCCUUUCUUUAUGAAACUUUCUUAAUGCACUUUUCGGUUAACAAGUCAACAUCAAUUUCUUUUGUUGUAAAAGGGUCAUUGGAAGGUGGCUUUCUUUUCGGAGAAAGUGUUUAUAGCCUUUGGCCUCUGCAAUCGGAGAGAUUGAGGUCUGCAGCGUAGAUCCUUCGGGGUUAGAUGCAUUUGUGCUAAGCUAUAGCCUUUCAUAGACAACUUGUUGACUAUGAUCAGUCAUGUAGCUUACUCGCUUAUGUCAUUUUACCUACGCUUAGGAUGUUGAUAGUCACAGCGUGUAC